GAUGAACGCUGGCGGCGUGCCUAAUACAUGCAAGUCGAGCGAACGGACGAGAAGCUUGCUUCUCUGAUGUUAGCGGCGGACGGGUGAGUAACACGUGGAUAACCUACCUAUAAGACUGGGAUAACUUCGGGAAACCGGAGCUAAUACCGGAUAAUAUUUUGAACCGCAUGGUUCAAAAGUGAAAGACGGACUUGCUGUCACUUAUAGAUGGAUCCGCGCUGCAUUAGCUAGUUGGUGAGGUAACGGCUUACCAAGGCAACGAUGCAUAGCCGACCUGAGAGGGUGAUCGGCCACACUGGAACUGAGACACGGUCCAGACUCCUACGGGAGGCAGCAGUAGGGAAUCUUCCGCAAUGGGCGAAAGCCUGACGGAGCAACGCCGCGUGAGUGAUGAAGGUCUUCGGAUCGUAAAACUCCGUUAUUAGGGAAGAACAUAUGUGUAAGUAACUGUGCACAUCUUGACGGUACCUAAUCAGAAAGCCACGGCUAACUACGUG
This 497-nucleotide ribosomal RNA is filed under the name uncultured bacterium. Its description in RNAcentral is "partial 16S ribosomal RNA". It matches the Rfam family "Bacterial small subunit ribosomal RNA", at positions 28 to 507 of the family's 1533-position model. The record is from RNAcentral.